RNAcentral lists this ribosomal RNA (404 nucleotides) under uncultured Syntrophomonas sp. RNAcentral's name for it is "bacterial SSU rRNA". It matches the Rfam family "Bacterial small subunit ribosomal RNA", at positions 976 to 1382 of the family's 1533-position model. The record is from RNAcentral. Lineage: Bacteria; Bacillati; Bacillota; Clostridia; Eubacteriales; Syntrophomonadaceae.
AGGUCUUGACAUCUGUGGAACCUUGUUGAAAGAUGAGGGUGCUCGGGAGCCACAAGACAGGUGGUGCAUGGUUGUCGUCAGCUCGUGUCGUGAGAUGUUGGGUUAAGUCCCGCAACGAGCGCAACCCUUGCUAUUAGUUGCUAACAUUUAAGGUGAGCACUCUAAUGGGACUGCCUGUGACAAGCAGGAGGAAGGUGGGGAUGACGUCAAAUCAUCAUGCCCUUUAUGACCUGGGCUACACACGUGCUACAAUGGAUGGUACAGAGAGCAGCGAGACCGUGAGGUGGAGCGAAUCUCUUAAAGCCACUCUCAGUUCGGAUUGGAGUCUGCAACUCGACUCCAUGAAGUCGGAAUCGCUAGUAAUCGCGAAUCAGAACGUCGCGGUGAAUGCGUUCCCGGGCCUU